UACAGAGGGUGCAAGCGUUGUUCGGAAUCAUUGGGCGUAAAGGGCGCGUAGGCGGCAAUUCAAGUCAUCUGUGAAAUCUCCGGGCUUAACUCGGAACGGUCAGAUGAUACUGCUUUGCUCGAGUGCGGAAGGGGCAAUCGGAAUUCUUGGUGUAGCGGUGAAAUGCGUAGAUAUCAAGAGGAACACCUGAGGUGAAGACGGGUUGCUGGGCCGACACUGACGCUGACAGCGCGAAAGCCAGGGGAGCAAACGGG
RNAcentral lists this ribosomal RNA (254 nucleotides) under uncultured prokaryote. RNAcentral describes it as "partial 16S ribosomal RNA". It matches the Rfam family "Bacterial small subunit ribosomal RNA", at positions 524 to 776 of the family's 1533-position model. The record is from RNAcentral.